UACGUAGGUGGCAAGCGUUAUCCGGAAUUAUUGGGCGUAAAGCGCGCGUAGGCGGUUUUUUAAGUCUGAUGUGAAAGCCCACGGCUCAACCGUGGAGGGUCAUUGGAAACUGGAAAACUUGAGUGCAGAAGAGGAAAGUGGAAUUCCAUGUGUAGCGGUGAAAUGCGCAGAGAUAUGGAGGAACACCAGUGGCGAAGGCGACUUUCUGGUCUGUAACUGACGCUGGUGUGCGAAAGCGUGG
Molecule: ribosomal RNA, 241 nt
Filed under: uncultured Staphylococcus sp.
Lineage: Bacteria; Bacillati; Bacillota; Bacilli; Caryophanales; Staphylococcaceae
Description: partial 16S ribosomal RNA
Rfam family: Bacterial small subunit ribosomal RNA
Source: RNAcentral